RNAcentral lists this transfer RNA (72 nucleotides) under Vitis vinifera subsp. sylvestris. RNAcentral's name for it is "tRNA-Gln". It matches the Rfam family "tRNA". From Rfam's summary of the family: Transfer RNA (tRNA) molecules are approximately 80 nucleotides in length. Their secondary structure includes four short double-helical elements and three loops (D, anti-codon, and T loops). Further hydrogen bonds mediate the characteristic L-shaped molecular structure. tRNAs have two regions of fundamental functional importance: the anti-codon, which is responsible for specific mRNA codon recognition, and the 3' end, to which the tRNAs corresponding amino acid is attached (by aminoacyl-tRNA synthetases). tRNAs cope with the degeneracy of the genetic code in two manners: having more than one tRNA (with a specific anti-codon) for a particular amino acid; and 'wobble' base-pairing, i.e. permitting non-standard base-pairing at the 3rd anti-codon position. The record is from RNAcentral. Lineage: Eukaryota; Viridiplantae; Streptophyta; Magnoliopsida; Vitales; Vitaceae.
GGGGCGUGGCCAAGUGGUAAGGCAACGGGUUUUGGUCCCGCUAUUCGGAGGUUCGAAUCCUUCCGUCCCAGA